UACAGAGACUGCAAGCGUUAUUUGGAUUCACUGGGCGUAAAGGGUGCGCAGGCGGCCAAGUGUGUGAGGCGUGAAAGCCCGGGGCUUAACCCCGGAAUUGCACCUCAAACUACAUGGCUAGAGCAUUGGAGAGGGUAGCGGAAUUCACGGUGUAGCAGUGAAAUGCGUAGAUAUCGUGAGGAACACCAGAGGCGAAGGCGGCUACCUGGACAAUUGCUGACGCUCAGGCACGAAAGCGUGGGGAGCAAAAGGG
Molecule: ribosomal RNA, 253 nt
Filed under: uncultured bacterium
Lineage: Bacteria
Description: partial 16S ribosomal RNA
Rfam family: Bacterial small subunit ribosomal RNA
Source: RNAcentral